This 257-nucleotide long non-coding RNA is filed under the name Lathyrus oleraceus (garden pea). RNAcentral describes it as "Pisum sativum (pea) long non-coding RNA (PSAT_LNC023911)". The record is from RNAcentral. Lineage: Eukaryota; Viridiplantae; Streptophyta; Magnoliopsida; Fabales; Fabaceae.
GCUGGUCUUAAACAUGCAACGAUUAGAGAAGAGAUUAAAACCAUUGGAGUUCCUUUCUUGAGAUCAUAAAUAUGAUUCAAGAUGCUCAUUUCCUCUGGACUUAGCAAGCAAUAAGCAAUCAAAAACAAUUAAACAUUCAAGCUCCUAGGAUCUCCAUUGGGCUUGUCUUUCUUAACUUGGCUAUUCAUGACAAUGGUCCUUCUUACUAUCUCAAGUUCGGAAUCCCUAUCACACAAGAACAAACAAUCAAAAAGUUC